UACGAAGGGGGCUAGCGUUGUCCGGAAUUAUUGGGCGUAAAGGGCUCGUAGGCGGUCUGUCGCGUCGGGAGUGAAAACUCAGGGCUUAACCCUGAGCCUGCUUCCGAUACGGGCAGACUAGAGGUAUGCAGGGGAGAACGGAAUUCCUGGUGUAGCGGUGGAAUGCGCAGAUAUCAGGAGGAACACCGGUGGCGAAGGCGGUUCUCUGGGCAUUACCUGACGCUGAGGAGCGAAAGUGUGGGGAGCGAACAGG
RNAcentral lists this ribosomal RNA (253 nucleotides) under uncultured bacterium. RNAcentral's name for it is "partial 16S ribosomal RNA". It matches the Rfam family "Bacterial small subunit ribosomal RNA", at positions 524 to 776 of the family's 1533-position model. The record is from RNAcentral.